UAAGAAAGGAAUAUUCAUUAAGAUGGCAUCUUCUAUAGUCUCUUCCAUGUUUCUCUUUCUCCUUCUUCUUCUUGUAUUUCCACAUAUAGAUAAUGUCCUUGGCGCACGAAUGGAACUCCGUGAACUUGGUGAGUAUUUUUUAUUUUGUCUCUAAAUAUUCGUAAGUUAUUAAUAUUUUACUUUAUCAGUUAGGUUUAUUAGGGGUGUUGAGUUAUAUAUGUAU
Molecule: small RNA, 223 nt
Filed under: Arabidopsis thaliana (thale cress)
Lineage: Eukaryota; Viridiplantae; Streptophyta; Magnoliopsida; Brassicales; Brassicaceae
Description: ATSL023690
Source: RNAcentral